AACGUAGGAGGCGAGCGUUAUCCGGAUUUACUGGGUGUAAAGCGCGUGCAGGCGGUUCUGCAAGUGGGACGUGAAAGCGCCCGGCUCAACCGGGCGAGGCCGUUCCGAACUGCGGGACUGGAGGCAGGUAGAGGCGUGUGGAAUUCCGGGUGUAGUGGUGAAAUGCGUAGAGAUCCGGAGGAACACCAGUGGCGAAGGCGGCACCCUGGACGACACCAGACGCUGAGACGCGACAGCACGGGGAGCGAAC
This 250-nucleotide ribosomal RNA is filed under the name uncultured bacterium. RNAcentral describes it as "partial 16S ribosomal RNA". It matches the Rfam family "Bacterial small subunit ribosomal RNA", at positions 524 to 773 of the family's 1533-position model. The record is from RNAcentral.